UCCACCGGAGCUUGCUCCACCGGAAAAAGAAGAGUGGCGAACGGGUGAGUAACACGUGGGUAACCUGCCCAUCAGAAGGGGAUAACACUUGGAAACAGGUGCUAAUACCGUAUAACAAUCAAAACCGCAUGGUUUUGAUUUGAAAGGCGCUUUCGGGUGUCGCUGAUGGAUGGACCCGCGGUGCAUUAGCUAGUUGGUGAGGUAACGGCUCACCAAGGCCACGAUGCAUAGCCGACCUGAGAGGGUGAUCGGCCACAUUGGGACUGAGACACGGCCCAAACUCCUACGGGAGGCAGCAGUAGGGAAUCUUCGGCAAUGGACGAAAGUCUGACCGAGCAACGCCGCGUGAGUGAAGAAGGUUUUCGGAUCGUAAAACUCUGUUGUUAGAGAAGAACAAGGAUGAGAGUAACUGUUCAUCCCUUGACGGUAUCUAACCAGAAAGCCACGGCUAACUACGUGCCAGCAGCCGCGGUAAUACGUAGGUGGCAAGCGUUGUCCGGAUUUAUUGGGCGUAAAGCGAGCGCAGGCGGUUUCUUAAGUCUGAUGUGAAAGCCCCCGGCUCAACCGGGGAGGGUCAUUGGAAACUGGGAGACUUGAGUGCAGAAGAGGAGAGUGGAAUUCCAUGUGUAGCGGUGAAAUGCGUAGAUAUAUGGAGGAACACCAGUGGCGAAGGCGGCUCUCUGGUCUGUAACUGACGCUGAGGCUCGAAAGCGUGGGGAGCAAACAGGAUUAGAUACCCUGGUAGUCCACGCCGUAAACGAUGAGUGCUAAGUGUUGGAGGGUUUCCGCCCUUCAGUGCUGCAGCUAACGCAUUAAGCACUCCGCCUGGGGAGUACGACCGCAAGGUUGAAACUCAAAGGAAUUGACGGGGGCCCGCACAAGCGGUGGAGCAUGUGGUUUAAUUCGAAGCAACGCGAAGAACCUUACCAGGUCUUGACAUCCUUUGACCACUCUAGAGAUAGAGCUUCCCCUUCGGGGGCAAAGUGACAGGUGGUGCAUGGUUGUCGUCAGCUCGUGUCGUGAGAUGUUGGGUUAAGUCCCGCAACGAGCGCAACCCUUAUUGUUAGUUGCCAUCAUUCAGUUGGGCACUCUAGCAAGACUGCCGGUGACAAACCGGAGGAAGGUGGGGAUGACGUCAAAUCAUCAUGCCCCUUAUGACCUGGGCUACACACGUGCUACAAUGGGAAGUACAACGAGUCGCGAAGUCGCGAGGCUAAGCUAAUCUCUUAAAGC
Molecule: ribosomal RNA, 1233 nt
Filed under: Enterococcus sp.
Lineage: Bacteria; Bacillati; Bacillota; Bacilli; Lactobacillales; Enterococcaceae
Description: bacterial SSU rRNA
Rfam family: Bacterial small subunit ribosomal RNA
Source: RNAcentral